CGGUUCCUCCCCAGGAUUGGAGCGCAUGCAUUGCCAGAAGAGCUUAAAUGGUCCUGGAACUGUUUUAAAUGGGUUCCCCUCAAAACAAGCCUACACAACAGAAGAAUAAAAUAUAUUCAACAAAAGAAACAGAAUAAGCAUAUCAACCUCAUUCAUUUUUCACUGCAAAUUAGUAAGAUCAAGGAAUUCACUACAAUUCUCCCAGUACCACCACUAAAGCAAAACAUGUUAAUGGCUAAUAAAAAGUAACAUUCCUUUAAAAUAAAGGGAGUGUAAGCAUGCCUAGUGGAAAUUCACCACCUCAUUGUUUUCAAAUACAGCUCUUGGAACAAUUCAACUUACCUUUUGGGAUAUGAAAUGAAUAAGAUAUAAUUUUGUUCUUGUUUUUUUUUCAACAACAGUACCCAAAUCACUUAAAAGAAGCAACUUCUAGAAUUUCAGUGAAGAUCUUCUAGAUUUAUAGCGUCAUUUCAAAGACCAAGAGAAAUUGUCAAUUUUACAAAUCAUGAGAGUCCAAACAACAUAAAACAAAAUAUUCAAUUCAUCUGCGCUUUAAUCCCAACCUAAAUAGUGUUGGCUAUAUAGCACAUUUUUCUGUACUCCAUAUCUUUCUUCUUAAAAGGAGCAAGAUUUAGAAUUUCAGUGAAGGUCUUCUAGUUUUUUAGUCACAUAUUCAAGACCAAGAUAAAUUAUUAAAUUUUCAAAUCACGUGUUCAAAGAAUAAAACAUGAUACUCAAAACAAUUGGGGUUGGCUAAAGGACCAUCUUUAUUCCAUGCCCACCUCUCCAUGCCCACCUGGCUUAGAAAUACAACUUCAGUAAUAUCUAGGGCCAUUAAAUUCUACUUCACUGCUUUCCCCAACAUCAUCCCUAGUAUUCCCUUUCUUUCCUUUCCUUUCUCCUGCAACUUCAAAAAGUUCAACCCUCAAUUUCCUUCCCAACACCAACACUGAAGAAAAACAUGUUAACGGCCAGUGAAAAAAUAAAAUUAUUUUAUAAUUUUUACUCAAUCACUUAUAAGGGGAACUCUUGGAGCUUCACUCAAGUGUCCUCUAAUUCUUGAGUAUCACUUUCAGGGCCACGUGAGAUUGUCAAUUUUACAAAAACAGGUGUAUCAAAACAGAAUAGAACAUAAUAGGAGUUUUUUUUCUCAUGAGAGUCAGAAGCAGCCUGUCAUUCCAUUUUCAGGUUAACACUCAGACAUCAUAGAUACCAUACAAUUACCUAUGCAAUUCAUUUUCAAACCAUUUUCAACAUCAAUUAUUAUACACUUAUUGGAUGUUUUCAUCUUAAAAAUUCACGAUCUCAAUUAUAUUAUUGGCUCGGUCAUGUGUUUUUUCCAGUGAGAAAUUUCACUCGUCUAUGAAAGAAUACUGGCUUCAGGGCUGAAAAUGUUAGUUUUAUAACAGAAAAGAUGCUUAACAUAUAUUUACUAUCCCCAGAUACUCACUAUCUUUAACCAAGAGGCGACCUAAACUAACAUUGACAAGUCCUUCA
Molecule: unclassified non-coding RNA, 1497 nt
Filed under: Hevea brasiliensis (rubber tree)
Lineage: Eukaryota; Viridiplantae; Streptophyta; Magnoliopsida; Malpighiales; Euphorbiaceae
Source: RNAcentral